Molecule: microRNA precursor, 74 nt
Filed under: Chlorocebus sabaeus (green monkey)
Lineage: Eukaryota; Metazoa; Chordata; Mammalia; Primates; Cercopithecidae
Description: miRNA (ENSCSAG00000020787.1)
Source: RNAcentral
AGGUUGGUGCAAAAGUAAUUGUGCAUUUUGCCAUUAAAAGUGGCAAAACCACAAUUACUUUUGCACCAACCUAA